RNAcentral lists this transfer RNA (73 nucleotides) under Agrilus planipennis (emerald ash borer). It matches the Rfam family "tRNA". From Rfam's summary of the family: Transfer RNA (tRNA) molecules are approximately 80 nucleotides in length. Their secondary structure includes four short double-helical elements and three loops (D, anti-codon, and T loops). The record is from Rfam by way of RNAcentral. Lineage: Eukaryota; Metazoa; Arthropoda; Insecta; Coleoptera; Buprestidae.
UCUCUUGUAGCGUAGUGGUGAGCGCGUUGGUGAGUAAUGCCAGAGGUCCCGAGUUCGAUUCCCGGCAAGGGUG